Non-coding RNA from Callorhinchus milii (elephant shark), 31 nucleotides. The record is from Rfam. NCBI's taxonomy places the organism in Eukaryota, Metazoa, Chordata, Chondrichthyes, Chimaeriformes, Callorhinchidae.
AAGUUAUCGGGAACAGAGAUUCCCAUAAUUU